Molecule: small nucleolar RNA, 79 nt
Filed under: Ovis aries (sheep)
Lineage: Eukaryota; Metazoa; Chordata; Mammalia; Artiodactyla; Bovidae
Description: Small nucleolar RNA SNORD103/SNORD85 (ENSOARG00000022068.1)
Source: RNAcentral
UUAGAGAUGACAAAAGUUGUCCUCACUGAGAUCAUAGCAUGAUGAGAAUCUUGCUUUUGUACUUAUCAUCUGAGCCAAA